UACGAAGGGGGCUAGCGUUGCUCGGAAUUACUGGGCGUAAAGCGCACGUAGGCGGCUCUUUAAGUCGGGGGUGAAAUCCUGGAGCUCAACUCCAGAACUGCCUUCGAUACUGAAGAGCUUGAGUCCGGGAGAGGUGAGUGGAACUGCGAGUGUAGAGGUGAAAUUCGUAGAUAUCAGGAGGAACACCAGUGGCGAAGGCGGCUCACUGGACCGGAACUGACGCUGAGGCGCGAAAGCGUGGGGAGCAAACAGGG
This 254-nucleotide ribosomal RNA is filed under the name uncultured bacterium. RNAcentral's name for it is "partial 16S ribosomal RNA". It matches the Rfam family "Bacterial small subunit ribosomal RNA", at positions 524 to 777 of the family's 1533-position model. The record is from RNAcentral.